Molecule: transfer RNA, 73 nt
Organism: Taphrina deformans PYCC 5710
Lineage: Eukaryota; Fungi; Ascomycota; Taphrinomycetes; Taphrinales; Taphrinaceae
Rfam family: tRNA
About the family: Transfer RNA (tRNA) molecules are approximately 80 nucleotides in length. Their secondary structure includes four short double-helical elements and three loops (D, anti-codon, and T loops).
Source: Rfam
GCCUCGCUGGCCCAAUGGUUAAGGCGCUUGACUUCGAAUCAAGCGAUUGUCAGUUCGAAUCUGGCGUGAGGCU